UUCAGCCAAAUCAGUAAGACAGGCGACGGACCUAGACAUCUGUCAAGUCUAUGCUACCAAGCCGGGGCUCCUCUCGAGGACCCAAAUAAUAGACCCAUAAAACUCCGUUCUGCGGAACCCAAAUCCAAAAUCGAAAGAACCACCGGCCUACGUUUGCCAUGCUACCAUACCAAGCGGGGGCUCGUCUCCGGAACUGAAGGUAUGCUUACCGUCGUGGAGGUUCCCCUCGCACUGGGGAUCUCCCCGCCAGGCGUCGACGAGCUGGAUGACUCCGACGCGGCGGCGAAGUGCGACGGACGAGGGCUCUGUAGCGGCGGGGGUCCUACGCCGCCUGUGACCGGUUCCGGAGGCCUUGACGGCGCGAGGGGGCGGCGGGAGGUGAACAGUUGGGACUUGGGAGGAGGGACCGGAAUCCGGAUAACGACAGUCGGGCGGGAAAUGAGACUUGUGUUCUUGUUGAUGCACACCACCACCAAUGGGUAGCUACUGCCUUCGGUCUCGUCGUCGUCGUCCGUCCGUCGCUUUACCUGUCCAUUGCGCUUAUGUUGCUUCUCUUGCUUCUAAUUAAUGUACGCAUAACACUAUAUUGUCUAUAUGGAUCGGUGAAUUUUAGCAAAAACAUUUGAGAA
This is a long non-coding RNA of Zea mays, 629 nucleotides long. RefSeq lists it as uncharacterized. The record is from RefSeq and is a predicted model, not a curated record. The transcript is spliced from 2 exons. NCBI's taxonomy places the organism in Eukaryota, Viridiplantae, Streptophyta, Magnoliopsida, Poales, Poaceae.